AAGUGGUUGGCGCAGCUGUUGUCCUGGCGGUGGUGGGCGGGACUAACUUACUCCAUUCUGGUUGUUGUUGUUCAGUUGUUGAUGUCGAGUUCAAGGUGCUGCUGGACUUUGUGCUCAUUGUCGCCGAGAUGGCCGACGUGGUCCCGGCAGAUGUUGUUUUGCCAAUUUGCUGCUCAGAGUUGGCUUGCGGUUGUUGUCGUUGAUGUGUUCGGCGGCUUUGUCGUGGCAGGGUUAAGUGGACGACGUUCUUAAAGGAGGUACUGCUGGAGGGUUUGGUGGUUGUCUUCGAGGUGAAGGGCUUGGUGGGCGUUGUCUUGGAUGAUGUUGUGGUAGUUGGUUUAGCGGUUGUUGUCUUGAUAGUUGU
Daphnia pulicaria is the source of this 364-nucleotide long non-coding RNA. RefSeq lists it as uncharacterized. The transcript is spliced from 3 exons. The record is from RefSeq and is a predicted model, not a curated record. NCBI's taxonomy places the organism in Eukaryota, Metazoa, Arthropoda, Branchiopoda, Diplostraca, Daphniidae.